This 486-nucleotide unclassified non-coding RNA is filed under the name Hevea brasiliensis (rubber tree). Lineage: Eukaryota; Viridiplantae; Streptophyta; Magnoliopsida; Malpighiales; Euphorbiaceae. The record is from RNAcentral.
GAGAUUGGCUAUAAAGAAGGUUACUGGUCUACUGUCUUCGUGAUCUUGUGGACUGUUUUUUUUUUUGGUUAAUUCACAAAAUUAGAUUAAUCGCAAACAUUUAAAGCUUCUUUAUCAUAUUAUUUCUAUUGGAAUGAUGAAUUUUGUGUCCUUUUAUAUAUGAAUCAAUUCAUAGUCCACUGACAAUGUUUGUUGUUAAUUGACUAAAUUCCCAAUUUCCCAUUUAUCAUCCAAAUCCAGCAUAUGUUUGUUAUUGGCGAUUAUAUGUAUAUCUAUUCUUCCCUUUUACUUGAUAUUUAAAGAAUAUUUUGGGACAAAGGAAAUGGGAAUAUGAUGGUUGUACUUGUCCGUUGCUCACAUAAAGCUGUGAUGAAUUGUCCUCGUCCUUUAUCCUGCAUUAUAUAGAGGCGUAAAUUUAGCUUCUUUGGGCCUGGAGUGAGAUAAAGAUUACGAUCCAUUGACAGGUUAAAGGACUCUCGACAGAAG